RNAcentral lists this ribosomal RNA (467 nucleotides) under uncultured bacterium. RNAcentral describes it as "partial 16S ribosomal RNA". It matches the Rfam family "Bacterial small subunit ribosomal RNA", at positions 28 to 507 of the family's 1533-position model. The record is from RNAcentral.
GACGAACGCUGGCGGCGUGCUUAACACAUGCAAGUCGAACGGAAAGGCCUCUUUCGGGGGGUACUCGAGUGGCGAACGGGUGAGUAACACGUGAGUAACCUGCCCUUGACUUUGGGAUAACUUCAGGAAACUGGGGCUAAUACCGGAUAGGAGCUCCUGCUGCAUGGUGGGGGUUGGAAAGUUUCGGCGGUUGGGGAUGGACUCGCGGCUUAUCAGCUUGUUGGUGGGGUAGUGGCUUACCAAGGCUUUGACGGGUAGCCGGCCUGAGAGGGUGACCGGCCACAUUGGGACUGAGAUACGGCCCAGACUCCUACGGGAGGCAGCAGUGGGGAAGAUUGCACAAUGGGUGGAAGCCUGAUGCAGCAACGCCGUGUGCGGGAUGACGGCCUUCGGGUUGGAAACCGCUUUCGCUCAUGACGAAGCUUUGUGUGACGGCAGUGGGUAAAGAAGCACCGGCUAACUACGUG